CACGGCCCCACUCUACGGGAGGCAGCAGUUAGGAAUCUUCCGCAAUGGGCGCAAGCUGACGGAGCGACGCCGCUUGGAGGAGGAAGCCCUUCGGGGUGUAAACUCCUGAACCCGGGACGAAGCCCCCGAUGAGGGGACUGACGGUACCGGGGUAAUAGCGCCGGCCAACUCCGUGCCAGCAGCCGCGGUAAUACGGAGGGCGCGAGCGUUACCCGGAUUUACUGGGCGUAAAGGGCGUGUAGGCGGCUUGGGGCGUCCCAUGUGAAAGGCCACGGCUCAACUGUGGAGGAGCGUGGGAUACGCUCAGGCUAGACGGUGGGAGAGGGUGGUGGAAUUCCCGGAGUAGCGGUGAAAUGCGCAGAUACCGGGAGGAACGCCGAUGGCGAAGGCAGCCACCUGGCCCACUUGUGACGCUGAGGCGCGAAAGCGUGGGGAGCAAACCGGAUUAGAUACCCGGGUAGUCCACGCCCUAAACGAUGCGCGCUAGGUCUCUGGGUUAUCUGGGGGCCGAAGCCAACGCGUUAAGCGCGCCGCCUGGGGAGUACGGCCGCAAGGCUGAAACUCAAAGGAAUUGACGGGGGCCCGCACAAGCGGUGGAGCAUGUGGUUUAAUUCGAAGCAACGCGAAGAACCUUACUAGGCCUUGACAUGCUAGGGAACCUGGGUGAAAGCCUGGGGUGCCCCGCGAGGGGAGCCCUAGCACAGGUGCUGCAUGGCCGUCGUCAGCUCGUGUCGUGAGAUGUUGGGUUAAGUCCCGCAACGAGCGCAACCCCUGCCGUUAGUUGCCAGCGGGUGAAGCCGGGCACUCUAACGGGACUGCCUGCGAAAGCAGGAGGAAGGCGGGGACGACGUCUGGUCAUCAUGGCCCUUAAGGCCUGGGCGACACACGUGCUACAAUGCCCACUACAGAGCGAGGCGACCUGGCAACAGGGAGCGAAUCGCAAAAAGGUGGGCGUAGUUCGGAUUGGGGUCUGCAACCCGACCCCAUGAAGCCGGAAUCGCUAGUAAUCGCGGAUCAGCCAUGCCGCGGUGAAUACGUUCCCGGGCCUU
This 1049-nucleotide ribosomal RNA is filed under the name uncultured Thermus sp. RNAcentral describes it as "bacterial SSU rRNA". It matches the Rfam family "Bacterial small subunit ribosomal RNA", at positions 325 to 1382 of the family's 1533-position model. Lineage: Bacteria; Thermotogati; Deinococcota; Deinococci; Thermales; Thermaceae. The record is from RNAcentral.